CCUACGGGUGGCUGCAGUGGGGAAUAUUGGACAAUGGGGGCAACCCUGAUCCAGCCAUGCCGCGUGUGUGAAGAAGGCCCUCGGGUUGUAAAGCACUUUCAGUGAGGAAGAACGCCUGGUGGUUAAUACCCAUCAGGAAAGACAUCACUCACAGAAGAAGCACCGGCUAACUCCGUGCCAGCAGCCGCGGUAAUACGGAGGGUGCGAGCGUUAAUCGGAAUUACUGGGCGUAAAGCGCGCGUAGGUGGCUUGAUAAGCCGGUUGUGAAAGCCCCGGGCUCAACCUGGGAACGGCAUCCGGAACUGUCAAGCUAGAGUGCAGGAGAGGAAGGUAGAAUUCCCGGUGUAGCGAUGAAAUGCGUAGAGAUCGGGAGGAAUACCAGUGGCGAAGGCGGCCUUCUGGACUGACACUGACACUGAGGUGCGAAAGCGUGGGUAGCAAACAGGAUUAGAUACCCCUGUAGUC
Molecule: ribosomal RNA, 465 nt
Filed under: Vreelandella stevensii
Lineage: Bacteria; Pseudomonadati; Pseudomonadota; Gammaproteobacteria; Oceanospirillales; Halomonadaceae
Description: partial 16S ribosomal RNA
Rfam family: Bacterial small subunit ribosomal RNA
Source: RNAcentral